This 253-nucleotide ribosomal RNA is filed under the name uncultured bacterium. RNAcentral describes it as "partial 16S ribosomal RNA". It matches the Rfam family "Bacterial small subunit ribosomal RNA", at positions 524 to 776 of the family's 1533-position model. The record is from RNAcentral.
UACAGGGGGGGCAAGCGUUGUUCGGAAUUACUGGGCGUAAAGGGCUCGUAGGCGGCCAACUAAGUCCGACGUGAAAUCCCAAAGCUUAACUUUGGAACUGCGUCGGAUACUGGAUGGCUUGAAUUCGGGAGAGGGAUGCAGAAUUCCAGGUGUAGCGGUGAAAUUCGUAGAUAUGGGGAGGAACACCGGUGGCGAAGGCGACCAUCUGGACGGAUACUGACGCUGAGACGCGAAAGCGUGGGUAGCAAACAGG